UACGUAGGGUGCAAGCGUCGUCCGGAAUUAUUGGGCGUAAAGAGCUCGUAGGCGGUCUGUCGCGUCGGAUGUGAAAACCCAGGGCUCAACCCUGGGCCUGCAUUCGAUACGGGCAGACUAGAGUUCGGUAGGGGAGACUGGAAUUCCAGGUGUAGCGGUGAAAUGCGUAGAUAUCUGGAGGAACACCGGUGGCGAAGGCGGCAUCCUGGACCGACACUGACGCUGAGGCGCGAAAGCUAGGGUAGCAAACGGG
Molecule: ribosomal RNA, 253 nt
Filed under: uncultured bacterium
Lineage: Bacteria
Description: partial 16S ribosomal RNA
Rfam family: Bacterial small subunit ribosomal RNA
Source: RNAcentral